This is a long non-coding RNA of Carya illinoinensis, 571 nucleotides long. RefSeq lists it as uncharacterized. The transcript has 3 exons. The record is from RefSeq and is a predicted model, not a curated record. Lineage: Eukaryota; Viridiplantae; Streptophyta; Magnoliopsida; Fagales; Juglandaceae.
UUAGUGGGCCGUUAAAUCCCCUUAGGCAGAUGGUCAGUUCCGAAGCUAAUGUCAGAGCUCUUCUCCUCAAGGCUCAAACCCUAACCUCUGUCUCUCUUUCUCUCAUUGACCGCCCCUCCAAGAUCUUCAAUUGGCGUGGCCUGAGACAACAGCCUUAAGAAAUUGGCUUCGUGUGGCUGAGAGUUCGUCUCUUCCUGAAGAAGCUGAAGCCUUUUGUUUGGAUAACAUAGAAGAGGGUAUCCCUAUACUGGAGGAGGAGUUUUCACGGGCUUAUCAAUGUAUAGGUUUUUGCCACAAUGAUUUGCAGUAUAGCAAUAUAAUGAUUGAUGAAGAGACCAAUUCUAUAACCAUCAUUCAAUAAGGUCUUAGUGGGGAAGGCUUGAUGGGAUUUCUGAAAGUAGUCAUACGAGCAUUAGGCGUGGUGGAUAUAUAUAUAUAUAUAUAUAUAUAAAUAUUUAUGGAGUUGGAUAUUGGAUUAUAUCCAUUUUUAUUCCUGUAUCAACUCUAUUAUUGCUGUCAUUCUUGUGUGCUUCUUCUUUGCAAUUUGCAAAGAUUUAUUGUUAUUGAAUUA